Molecule: ribosomal RNA, 253 nt
Filed under: uncultured bacterium
Lineage: Bacteria
Description: partial 16S ribosomal RNA
Rfam family: Bacterial small subunit ribosomal RNA
Source: RNAcentral
UACGAAGGGGGCUAGCGUUGCUCGGAAUCACUGGGCGUAAAGCGCACGUAGGCGGCUUGUUAAGUCAGGGGUGAAAUCCUGGAGCUCAACUCCAGAACUGCCUUUGAUACUGGCGAGCUGGAGUUCGGGAGAGGUGAGUGGAACUGCGAGUGUAGAGGUGAAAUUCGUAGAUAUUCGCAAGAACACCAGUGGCGAAGGCGGCUCACUGGCCCGGUACUGACGCUGAGAUACGAAAGCGUGGGGAGCAAACAGG